This 412-nucleotide ribosomal RNA is filed under the name uncultured bacterium. RNAcentral's name for it is "bacterial SSU rRNA". It matches the Rfam family "Bacterial small subunit ribosomal RNA", at positions 34 to 437 of the family's 1533-position model. The record is from RNAcentral.
CGCUGGCGGCGUGCCUAACACAUGCAAGUCGAACGGGGAGUUACUUGUAACUCCUAGUGGCGAACGGGUGAGUAACGCGUAGACAACCUGCCUCUAAACUGGGGACAACACCGCGAAAGUGGUGCUAAUACCGAAUGUGGUAUCUUGAUCGCAUGAUCGAGAUAAGAAAGAUGGCCUCUGCAUAUGCUAUCGAUUAGAGAUGGGUCUGCGUCUGAUUAGCUAGUUGGUGAGGUAAUGGCUCACCAAGGCGACGAUCAGUAGCCGGUCUGAGAGGAUGAACGGCCACACUGGGACUGAGACACGGCCCAGACUCCUACGGGAGGCAGCAGUGGGGAAUCUUCCGCAAUGGACGAAAGUCUGACGGAGCAACGCCGCGUGAGUGAAGAAGGUCUUCGGAUUGUAAAGCUCUGUC